RNAcentral lists this ribosomal RNA (314 nucleotides) under uncultured bacterium. Its description in RNAcentral is "bacterial SSU rRNA". It matches the Rfam family "Bacterial small subunit ribosomal RNA", at positions 28 to 334 of the family's 1533-position model. The record is from RNAcentral.
GAUGAACGCUAGCUACAGGCUUAACACAUGCAAGUCGAGGGGCAGCAUUAUCUUAGCUUGCUAAGAUAGAUGGCGACCGGCGCACGGGUGAGUAACACGUAUCCAACCUUCCGGUUACUCGGGGAUAGGCUUUCGAAAGAAAGAUUAAUACCCGAUGUUGCGUAUCUUUCUCCUGAAAGAUACGCCAAAGGAUUCCGGUAACCGAUGGGGAUGCGUUCCAUUAGGCAGUUGGCGGGGUAACGGCUUACCAAGACUACGAUGGAUAGGGGGACCGAGAGGUUGACCCCCCACACUGGUACUGAGAUACGGACCAG